RNAcentral lists this non-coding RNA (29 nucleotides) under Mus musculus (house mouse). The record is from RNAcentral. Lineage: Eukaryota; Metazoa; Chordata; Mammalia; Rodentia; Muridae.
UGCCUAUCCACAGUGUGUCUCCCAAUAUG